UACAGAGGUCUCAAGCGUUGUCCGGAUUUAUUGGGCGUAAAGAGCUCGUAGGCGGCUUGUCGCGUCGUCCGUGAAAACUUGGGGCUCAACCCCAAGCUUGCGGUCGAUACGGGCAGGCUCGAGUUCGGUAGGGGAGACUGGAAUUCCUGGUGUAGCGGUGAAAUGCGCAGAUAUCAGGAGGAACACCGGUGGCGAAGGCGGGUCUCUGGGCCGAUACUGACGCUGAGGAGCGAAAGCGUGGGGAGCGAACAGG
Molecule: ribosomal RNA, 253 nt
Filed under: uncultured bacterium
Lineage: Bacteria
Description: partial 16S ribosomal RNA
Rfam family: Bacterial small subunit ribosomal RNA
Source: RNAcentral